RNAcentral lists this ribosomal RNA (709 nucleotides) under Ruegeria sp. AU80_Ted3_MBdef. RNAcentral describes it as "bacterial SSU rRNA". It matches the Rfam family "Bacterial small subunit ribosomal RNA", at positions 60 to 817 of the family's 1533-position model. The record is from RNAcentral. Lineage: Bacteria; Pseudomonadati; Pseudomonadota; Alphaproteobacteria; Rhodobacterales; Roseobacteraceae.
AGUCGAGCGCACCUUCGGGUGAGCGGCGGACGGGUUAGUAACGCGUGGGAACAUACCCUUUGGUACGGAAUAGCCUCUGGAAACGGAGAGUAAUACCGUAUGAGCCCUUCGGGGGAAAGAUUUAUCGCCAAAGGAUUGGCCCGCGUUAGAUUAGGUAGUUGGUGGGGUAAUGGCCUACCAAGCCUACGAUCUAUAGCUGGUUUUAGAGGAUGAUCAGCAACACUGGGACUGAGACACGGCCCAGACUCCUACGGGAGGCAGCAGUGGGGAAUCUUGGACAAUGGGGGCAACCCUGAUCCAGCCAUGCCGCGUGAGUGAUGAAGGCCUUAGGGUCGUAAAGCUCUUUCGCCUGUGAAGAUAAUGACGGUAGCAGGUAAAGAAACCCCGGCUAACUCCGUGCCAGCAGCCGCGGUAAUACGGAGGGGGUUAGCGUUGUUCGGAAUUACUGGGCGUAAAGCGCACGUAGGCGGACUGGAAAGUUGGGGGUGAAAUCCCAGGGCUCAACCCUGGAACUGCCUCCAAAACUAUCAGUCUAGAGUUCGAGAGAGGUGAGUGGAAUUCCGAGUGUAGAGGUGAAAUUCGUAGAUAUUCGGAGGAACACCAGUGGCGAAGGCGGCUCACUGGCUCGAUACUGACGCUGAGGUGCGAAAGUGUGGGGAGCAAACAGGAUUAGAUACCCUGGUAGUCCACACCGUAAACGAUGAAUGCC